RNAcentral lists this ribosomal RNA (854 nucleotides) under Bacillus subtilis. RNAcentral's name for it is "bacterial SSU rRNA". It matches the Rfam family "Bacterial small subunit ribosomal RNA", at positions 21 to 857 of the family's 1533-position model. The record is from RNAcentral. Lineage: Bacteria; Bacillati; Bacillota; Bacilli; Caryophanales; Bacillaceae.
UGCUCAGGACGAACGCUGGCGGCGUGCCUAAUACAUGCAAGUCGAGCGGACAGAUGGGAGCUUGCUCCUGAUGUUAGCGGCGGACGGGUGAGUAACACGUGGGUAACCUGCCUGUAAGACUGGGAUAACUCCGGGAAACCGGGGCUAAUACCGGAUGGUUGUCUGAACCGCAUGGUUCAGACAUAAAAGGUGGCUUCGGCUACCACUUACAGAUGGACCCGCGGCGCAUUAGCUAGUUGGUGAGGUAACGGCUCACCAAGGCGACGAUGCGUAGCCGACCUGAGAGGGUGAUCGGCCACACUGGGACUGAGACACGGCCCAGACUCCUACGGGAGGCAGCAGUAGGGAAUCUUCCGCAAUGGACGAAAGUCUGACGGAGCAACGCCGCGUGAGUGAUGAAGGUUUUCGGAUCGUAAAGCUCUGUUGUUAGGGAAGAACAAGUGCCGUUCAAAUAGGGCGGCACCUUGACGGUACCUAACCAGAAAGCCACGGCUAACUACGUGCCAGCAGCCGCGGUAAUACGUAGGUGGCAAGCGUUGUCCGGAAUUAUUGGGCGUAAAGGGCUCGCAGGCGGUUUCUUAAGUCUGAUGUGAAAGCCCCCGGCUCAACCGGGGAGGGUCAUUGGAAACUGGGGAACUUGAGUGCAGAAGAGGAGAGUGGAAUUCCACGUGUAGCGGUGAAAUGCGUAGAGAUGUGGAGGAACACCAGUGGCGAAGGCGACUCUCUGGUCUGUAACUGACGCUGAGGAGCGAAAGCGUGGGGAGCGAACAGGAUUAGAUACCCUGGUAGUCCACGCCGUAAACGAUGAGUGCUAAGUGUUAGGGGGUUUCCGCCCCUUAGUGCUGCAGCUAACG